AUACGGAGGGUGCGAGCGUUAAUCGGAAUUACUGGGCGUAAAGCGUACGUAGGCGGUUGGUUAAGUUAGAUGUGAAAGCCCCGGGCUUAACCUGGGAACUGCAUUAAAACUGGCGAACUAGAGUUGAGUAGAGGGGAGUGGAAUUUCAGGUGUAGCGGUGAAAUGCGUAGAGAUCUGAAGGAACACCAGUGGCGAAGGCGACUCCCUGGACUCGAACUGACGCUGAGGUACGAAAGCGUGGGUAGCAAACGGGAUUAGAAACCCCAGUAGUCC
Molecule: ribosomal RNA, 273 nt
Filed under: uncultured bacterium
Lineage: Bacteria
Description: partial 16S ribosomal RNA
Rfam family: Bacterial small subunit ribosomal RNA
Source: RNAcentral